AACGAACGCUGGCGGCAUGCCUAACACAUGCAAGUCGAACGAUUGCCUUCGGGUGAUAGUGGCGCACGGGUGCGUAACGCGGGGGAAUCUGCCCUUAGGUUCGGAAUAACAGCUGGAAACGGCUGCUAAUACCGGAUGAUAUCGCGAGAUCAAAGAUUUAUCGCCUGAGGAUGAGCCCGCGUUGGAUUAGGUAGCUGGUGGGGUAAAGGCCUACCAAGCCGACGAUCCAUAGCUGGUCUGAGAGGAUGAUCAGCCACACUGGGACUGAGACACGGCCCAGACUCCUACGGGAGGCAGCAGUGGGGAAUAUUGGACAAUGGGCGCAAGCCUGAUCCAGCAAUGCCGCGUGAGUGAUGAAGGCCCUAGGGUUGUAAAGCUCUUUUACCCGGGAAGAUAAUGACUGUACCGGGAGAAUAAGCCCCGGCUAACUCCGUG
Molecule: ribosomal RNA, 435 nt
Filed under: uncultured bacterium
Lineage: Bacteria
Description: partial 16S ribosomal RNA
Rfam family: Bacterial small subunit ribosomal RNA
Source: RNAcentral